UGGGCGGAGGGCAUUCUACCGAAACGCUCGACAUGAGGACGAAGCUGGGGGAGGCCGUACCGAUAAGAUACCGUAGUCAGCGUAACUAUGCGCCGUAGGUGUGCUGUAACUACGAGGUACGGGUGCCGAAGUGAAAACGGGAACGUGCCGCCUGGGAAGUACGGUCGCAAGGCUGAAACUAAAGGAAUGGCGGGGGAGCACCACAACGGGUGGAGCCUGCGGUUUAAUUGGACUCAACGCCGGGCAGCUCACCGGAUAGGACAGCGGAAUGAUAGCCGGGCUGAAGACCUUGCUUGACCAGCUGAGAGGAGGUGCAUGGCCGUCGUCAGUUAAAAAAAUGAAGCAUCCUGUUUAGUCAGGCAACGAGCGAGACGCACGCCAACAGUUGCUAGCAUGUUCUCCGGAAUGAUGAGGACAAAAAAAAGGACCGCCUCUGCUAAAGAGGAGGAAGGGGUGGGCAAAAGUAGGUCAGCAUGCCCCGAAAAAACCGGGCUACACGCGGGCUACAAUGGUCAGGACAAUGGGAAACGGCACUGAAAAGUGUAGUCAAUCUCCUAAACCUGUCCCAAGUUCGGAUUGUGGGCUGCAACUCGCCCACAUGAAGCUGGAAUCCGUAGUAAUCGCGUUCCAAAAUAGCGCGAGAAUAAGUCCCUGCCCCCCCACACACCGAAUCGGUCCCGGGCCCGUGAAUGAGAGGCCGCAUGCAAGCUGCGUAUAGUGAGUCGUAUAGAGCUGGCGACC
Molecule: ribosomal RNA, 741 nt
Filed under: uncultured archaeon
Lineage: Archaea
Description: bacterial SSU rRNA
Rfam family: Archaeal small subunit ribosomal RNA
Source: RNAcentral